AUACAACAGUUUCACCAUUACCGUAUUGGCCCUAUUAUAAGGCGACGUUUUUUGAUUGAUAAUUAGGUUGUAAAAUUCAUAGUCACCUUAUAAUCACGG
This is a long non-coding RNA of Limulus polyphemus (Atlantic horseshoe crab), 99 nucleotides long. RefSeq lists it as uncharacterized. The record is from RefSeq and is a predicted model, not a curated record. NCBI's taxonomy places the organism in Eukaryota, Metazoa, Arthropoda, Merostomata, Xiphosura, Limulidae. The transcript is spliced from 3 exons.